Long non-coding RNA from Nicotiana tabacum (common tobacco), 571 nucleotides. RefSeq lists it as uncharacterized. Lineage: Eukaryota; Viridiplantae; Streptophyta; Magnoliopsida; Solanales; Solanaceae. The record is from RefSeq and is a predicted model, not a curated record.
CACCUUUCUCUUUCUCUUUUUCUUUUACCUUUCUUUUUCUCUUUCUCUUUCUUAGCAUCCCUGCUUGGAAGUGGAUCUGGGCGCUUCAUCCUUCUUCUUCGCUAUAGCUGCAGCAACAAACCAGCUCUCUUGGUCUCCGAUUAACACACCUACACCUAGAGCAACCAUUACACAGCCUCUUUGAUUAGGAAUUUACCUUGGUAGAACGACUUGAUAAGUGGAGGGUGCUGUAAGACUUGAAAUAGGAUUUUGCUGUUCUGCUACGUACUGUUAUCUACUUCAGGUUCAUAUGUGGCUAGUGGCUUAGUGGCAUAGAGGCAUGGUUGAUAUGGAGACUUGGGUGAGCUACAAUUAUCGAGAUGACCCGCAACCAGCAGAGUCUCCUUCACAUUAUUGUACUGUAUUUUCAUUUUUGUCCACUUGUAUUUCGGACAAUUACUGUGGUUUAUGUCAUUUCCUAGUAAAUGCUCAUGCACUUGUGACACCGGAUUCUGGGAUGAUUAUGGGUUAUCUUGUAUUAACUACUUAACAUUCAUAUUCAAUUUGAAAUGAUUAUCUUUUACUAGUAAAA